Anolis carolinensis (green anole) is the source of this 423-nucleotide long non-coding RNA. RefSeq lists it as uncharacterized. The record is from RefSeq and is a predicted model, not a curated record. NCBI's taxonomy places the organism in Eukaryota, Metazoa, Chordata, Lepidosauria, Squamata, Anolidae. The transcript is spliced from 2 exons.
GGUGCUCUGUAAGAAACCAGAAAGGAGGUUAAUGGCAGCAUCCCAGAGAGCAAGGAAAGAAAGAGGGUGCGCUACAGCCACAGCUCUAAGCAGCUGCCUACGAAUUGCACGGCCAGUGAAAGAGGGGAUGCUUUCUCCUUGCCAUGAGUGAAAUGUCUGCACAUUACUUUGUGCAAGCGAUGCCCAAGUCAUUGAAUUCUCUAGAAUAGGUGCACACUGACAUGAUCGUAACAAGUACAAGCAAUCUUGUUAUUAGAGAACAAAGAGAACCUGAAUUGCCUCUGGAAGUUCCAGACUUCUGUGACCAGGCACCACUUCAGUGAUCUGGAUCUUCUUUUCUCAAUGAAAGCGAAUCAUACUCACGGGUAUCCAAGAAAGAGGAGAUUGAGAACAGAAUGGCUACGGAAGAGAUUGACCAGAGUC